Molecule: non-coding RNA, 385 nt
Organism: Drosophila virilis
Lineage: Eukaryota; Metazoa; Arthropoda; Insecta; Diptera; Drosophilidae
Source: RefSeq, a predicted model, not a curated record
CUCUACAUUUAGAAUUUGGGCAACAAAACGAUCGUAUUGGUCCGCUCUCAAAAGAUCAUGGACGCCAUGAUUCUUUUUGACAUGGGAGAAAUCGAUAUGCAGAGCUUUUUGACUCGAUUUUCAAGGCAGGACCUGUUUGACUGGGAUGAUGAAUCAAAUAUUUCCGGAAUUUUGCCUGAAAUGAAAUCUUCCACAACGUCACUUUCCUCGAAUGCUUCAAAUUUAAGACAUACCAUAAAUGGAACAAUGAUUCUUUAAAUUAAAAACUAAACCUAAGUGCCCGAGCUGUAAACAAGAAGUCAAAGAGGCAAUAAGUUAAGUUUUUAUUUACACCUAAAAACUGUAAAACCAACAAUAGGUUAUGGCAAAAAGCUAAUAAAAAAAA